CCAAAAUGUGCUUUUAUUUUUUUCCUUUUGCUACUAUAGCAUUAAAGCUGAAGGACUUCCACUGUAUAUUUAUAACUGUGUAGUCUGUCUCUUCUUGCUGACCUUGAGUGUGAAUAUUAUUUGAAGGAGCUUCAGGCAGUGGUGUUCUGUCAUUACUAAGACAGGACAUUUCAGGUUUUCCCUGCUGAGCCUACAGACAGCCUCAGCAGCACAUUAACUCUGAAAACUGAAACUUAAUUUUCUGACCCUUCAGCUUAAACUCAGAUCCUCAGAGUUUUAAGGUGAAGAUACUGGGCUUCUCACUUUAUUGCAUCUGAACUACAGUUACCUCUUCCCUUUGCCAAGUGUGCAGCAGGUUGGUACCAGUCCAGAGAGGGGCAGGAAUAUCCUGAAUGACCACAGCCAGGGACCUGAGUGCUCGUCUGCUGAACAGAAAUGAGCACACAGUGAGGGACAAGUGUGAAUUGGGUUCUUAUGACUAAAACAAGGAUGUCCCAAAAGUUCAGCACCUGGGGAGUUAGCAGGACUUGGUGGAAGAAAUCCUUAUUCUUAAAGCAAUUACAGAAAUGCAGCCUGACUGAGCAUUUUACUUUUGCUGCCUGAUGAACUCUCAUCACCCUGGGUGUGUGGCUGGUGAGUCACACACACG
This 649-nucleotide long non-coding RNA is filed under the name Serinus canaria (Common canary). RNAcentral's name for it is "lncRNA (ENSSCAG00000009362.1)". Lineage: Eukaryota; Metazoa; Chordata; Aves; Passeriformes; Fringillidae. The record is from RNAcentral.